UAAUAAUAAUAUAUAAUAAUAUAUUAUGGUGGAAGCGACAUGAUCGUUGAUUCGUUCUCGACUGAAAAAUAAUUCGCUUACACUGAUCAACGAAACGCAACAGGUACAUUGCGUAUCGGUGUACAUUCAGGGGCGGAUCUAUAUGGGGGUUUAGGAAGUUAGUUGACCCACAGUUAAUAUUAGUUGGCAAAAUCGGCUUCUUAAAGACUUUUAAUUUUUCUUUAAAUGCGCCGACUAUAGGUCGAUAUUAAUACUAGACUGAGACAAAUGCCCCAGUUGUCAUCCCCCAAAUGACGCCACAAAUUUAAUUAUAUAAUCAGUAAAACAUCUCUAAGCCAUGUAAGACUCCGUAAAAUAAAAUAAUUAUGAAUGUAUUCAAUGAAAAUUAUGAAUAAACUUAAAAACAAAUAUUAAAUGAUCUUUUUUUUUUGUUACAAGGUAUACUGUUAUAAUCCAGUUUCAACCCUAAUAAGUAGCCUCUUGAAAAUAGCUUGACCCACAGUUCUCUAACCGUGGAUCCACUCUGUACAUUUUUAUCGUGUUCGUCGAGCGAAGCACGUAGCGUUUUACUGCCCACUGCAGUCAAUUUGAAUAUACGUGUCGAAUAUUGCGUUUCGUUUCCGAGCCCAAGCAAUGCGAUUAAUCAGCAGAAAAACGGUUGCGUAAUCCGUAUUGCACUUGCACCAGCGUGCACCACGGAAAGCGUUUAAUUGCUGACGAGCCGGAAAAUGAAAAAAAAAAAAUACACUAAAUAAAACGAAAAAUUAUUGCGGAAACGGUAUGGUAUUAUCGGUCGAGUAAUAUUUCACCGACGUGUAAUACGCAUGCGAAAACGUGGCGGUCGGACGACGGUUGAACGAUUUGUUGAAAUAAAUUCGCGUGUUGCCCGUCGUCGUCCGGCAAGAAACCAUUUCCAACCGAUACGCGGUCGCCGCUUAGUCCUUAAAUAAAAACGUGAAAAGCUCACGGACGACAGGGCCAAUAACGGAACGGGAUCGAAGUGCCAAAACAUCACGCGAAUAACCAAAAAUACCACUGCAGUGGUAUAAGAAAUAUUUUCUCGUCAACGUUCGAAACGCGUGCGUUCUGGGCAGGCGCGUCUCCAAGAGAGGAGGGCACUGGGCUUUUCAAAUUUUUAAUACAUUUUUGUUUUUGUGAACUGUAAAAACCAGAUUAUUUUAGUAGAUACCUACCUAAUAAUUUUAUUUUGCCCAAAAAACCAUAUUAUGACAUUAAUAUGAGGUGUGUAUCAUAAUAUAGAAACGUAGCCGUACUCUAUGUUUCAGUACUAAUUUGAGGAAACAACUAGUAUCAGUUAAAACUUAAAAUGCUCCCCCUGGUUACUCUCUGAAACCACGCCUAGUUGUUGGUUUUUUUACGGCAAAACGCGGCGUCGAUUACGACGACCUGUUCAUUCAACAGGAAAUCGUUACAUUUUUCCAAACUGUCGGGAAGAACUUGAUAUACGUGCGUGACGCCAACAUUUCGACCGAGAACAUCGUAGCAACUGUGACCACGGUUAAAGGCGGUACCGGACAUCGUGUUUCGGUCUUCAAAACAAUUAGCGGUUGUCCCGUCGUCUAUGGACCGUACAACAAAAAUUUUCUUUACAUUUCAACGAUGGACAGAUAAACGAUAUGGUAACAAACGGUUUUAACGCCGUCGAACGCAAACAUUGCAAACUUCGUACACGGGCGUUUAAACAUGGUCUACGUCAUAACGUUUGCUCCUAAAGAUAACACGCGUAAGUGGACGCAACCAAACACGCGUUAGCGCACGCUUUAUUGCCUGACGACCACUGCAACGGAAUGCUCGACCGGAAAUCCACGUUUCACCAACACUGUUAUUAUUGUACACGCGUGGUCCCGUCGCACAAACGAAAGUGAACAGACACGUUUUUCGUUAACGCACGCGCACACACGGUGACGUGUUGAACAAUUUUUUUUACCUACGAGGCCCAAUGCGUUUAGACUUCAACUACUGAUGAAAGUAAUCGACAUUUUAGUCAAUGAGGUCCGAAUCGCGAAGCUUGUACAAUAAAAAAUCAUUAAAAUUCGUAUCACGAACGUUUUAUUUAUUUAUCAUUAUUUCUAGCGUCCGAAAUCAUUGAUCAUAAUAUCUUCGUGAUACUAAUUGUGCACGUGUUUUCUUUCACAAGUCAGAAACGUACACGUUAACGUCGACGCCCGUAAGUGAUUGCGUUCAGUCCGUUUUUCGCAAGUAAUUUUUUACACGUACUAAAAACACUAACUUCACUAUUUAGUUGCUCUACGUUGAUCUCAUUUCAUGCCUACGGCUUUACACCCCGUCACCAACCGGUCGAGGCACUAUCUUUACUUACUAUACGCACGCGCACGCACAUCAAUGUCAAUUAUUACGGGAGUUACUUUAUUAUUACGUAACGAACACACGAGUCGAAUGCUAUGUGUGUGUACGAAUCGCAAGGAGUAAUAUGGUACACAUACACAUAUAUACGUUAGUGCAAUUCCGUCGUGUUUACACGCGUGUCCUUAUUGUUGUUGCGAAGAUGUGAAUAAUAACAACAUCGUACGGCGAACACGACGUUAAGGCCGCGGACUUUCGGAUCCGACAAACGCGCGUGUAAUAUCCGUUCAAUAACGCGCGGAAUCCGCUCGGUCCGCCGGUCAAGGUGGUCGACAUACUACUACUACUACUACUACUACUGUGCGCGCACGCACCACGUAGCGAAUGGAUAAUUAAUAACAGAACGUUUGUCGACGGUUUCGGGAGAGACCUCGGCGGUACGGAAUUCCUUGACGGCUCACGCACCACGGCCCCGCGGCCGGUCACACGCGUGUAUUGUAACGGGGCCGAAAAUGCGCUGUCACCAUCUCGACGGAUACAGUCUCGGUACGCGGACAAGUGGUCGUCGGAGUAGAAACUGGGAGCCGAUCGCGCUACGGGUGUCCCCGAAAAAACAGUAAUGACUGGCGGAAAAAUCGCAGUCAACGAUGGGGAGGAAGAGAGAACGAUAAUCGUAAUCAUGCAGCGAAGUCCUUGCGGCCAGAACGAAGAAGGUCGUCAUCGGGUCUCCAGCAUGGAGGGCACGUCUGUCCGAGGGAGAUGGCAGCGGAUUGUUUUCAUUUCCAGCGGCCGCGGUUACGUCGUAAUAGUACAAUAUUGUUUUAUUUGGAGCCCUUAUUGAACGCGCACGUGCAACGAGAAAACGCUCCGAACAAAAGCGUCGUGUCCGUCGAAUAGUUUUUGUUCUCGCCACGUUUUUUUUUGUGUCCACGUCGUAUCCUCUGCUCGACACCUCAAGGUACUUCCUGCGUACACGUCAAAAACCGUCGGGAACCGAGAACAGUGUUUGAACGUCGCUCGCGUAACGUAUAUAUUACGUGAAAAAUGAUACGUAGAACGGCGCGUUCGGGAAAAGAUUCAAAUCAGUUUAAAUCUUCGACGACACGACGAUAUUAUAUCAUGUAUUAUCACGGAAGACCACUUCAUCAGGACGCGAUAUUACUCCAAUAACAGAAGUAUAGAAAACCAUAAGAACCCGGAAGCGCAACAUUACGCGUUCAUUUUUGUGCAACAUUUAAGUAAUCCAAUCGUAUAAUGACAAUAAAUGCAAUUCCUCCGAACGAUUUGUAAUGUCGAUUAUGUUUCGCUCCAAUAGCAAUAGACGAUUGGAAUCGUUGUGGAAAUAAAUAAAAAUCACUUUUUCCCGAAAAUCCGCAAUAACAUUACUGUGCCGUGUUCACCGUGCAGUUGUUAUAGAUAAUUGUUCGAAAAAUAUUUAUUACGAUAAUAUGUUUACCGAAACCGCAAUGCAGUCAAAACAGAAUGCGAUCGCUUCGAAAAUAAAUUCGGCCGAGGUACUUAUCUAUCCAUGGACUAUCUGUCCAUGUCUACACUGUAUUUAUUGUAAUAACAAUAAAACCAGCAAUCCGUUAAGUCAUAACGAUAUUAUGGAAUGCAUAUUUUUUUAAUAUUUUUGUCCAUGUCGAUCACCUAGACAUUUUUUUUUUUUUAAUAGUACCUUCUGCACUGCCACGGAAGAGGAUAGCGAUUUAUUUACCUUGGACAGUCGACUAUACCCAAAGAAAGAAACGCAUGUUUAGUGCACUCAACCGCUACUCGUCCCCUACUUUACGGUACAUAAUGUAUAUAUACAUAAACGAGUACUGUUAACAAUGAAAAUUGCUUUACAAACACUACGCAAAAGUAUUUUCACGCACAUAACACUAACCCAACAACAACAAUUAGUAGCCGUCAAAGCUGUUGCACUGUUCGCGAUUUUUGGACGAUUAAAAAACGUGUUAGCCGCGAAACCUGUCGAAAAGGAAGCAGCGGAGGAGGCCGUUACGGUUCUCUCUCGUAGAGUGUUUAAUAAUACCAUGGAUUAUCGCCGAGUCGACUUGUCCAUUAAAAAAAAAAAAUUAAUGAAAAAAUAAUACAGUUUUCCGAAACGUCCCGAGCCUGUUCUGGACACUACGUCAGAUUUGAGAGGCAAACCCGUAUAUUUAUUACGUACUCAUACGGGUAGUGUUAUUAGACCUGUUUCGCGAACUCCACGCGGGGGUACAGAUUUCUCGUUUUUACACGCAUUGUACGCCAUUGUUACACGUUUUACUAACCUAACCUACGCUGCGCACCGCAGAUAACCGUGCGGCCCGCAUCUUUAUCAUCAUUUAUUUAUGUAUUUUAUAUUUAUUUUUAUUUUUUGCAACAUCUUAGAUUUUACAUCAAAAUAUACAAACGAAAAUACAAUUUUUGCAGCACACUCGAUAAGCAAAGCUUGUGCCGGGGAAGCAGUUUUUAAGAAUAUUAAAUAAUCAGCCUCGACCCCUAUUUGAGUCGUGCCUAAUCACGUCGCUCUUUCAUCGGAUAUUAUGAUAGUGUGUACUGACUAAAUACGUAGGUACGAGGAUUUGUUUACAAGUAGGCCACAACAACAUGGCAUUCCACAGAACAGGAGGACUCAGAUAGAAGGAGUUGUUUGGUUCAAAAGAAGACGCUUAUGAUUUUGAUAUCAUCUUGUUUUGGUAACAUUUUUUGAAACAAAAGUCACUUACAUUGUUAUUUUUUUUCUUUAGGUUGAAUAUCGUUUUGCAGCCAACAGGUUGUAUCGGAACCCGUAGUAUAUAAUGUAUAGAUGGAGUACGAUCAACUUUUCUUUCUCACGAUUCUAUACACACCAAUAUUUUGGCCGGCACUCGAUCAUCAUUACAACCCCUGCAGGUGGAUUUGCACUCAUACCAUGAUUGUUACCGCAAUGACAUAUUAGAUAAUGGACUACGUACGUGAAGGUACCUUAUAGUGCAAUCUUCGCGUGGGCGACGAAGAAGCGUCGUAUCGUGUGGUGAAACGCGCCGUUCAUCAAAACAAUACGACUACACGCCCGAAAAAACGAAAAUGAAAGAACUACGUGUGUAUAAUAAAGACAUCGAUUAGGAUCAACCCCGAACGCUUCAAUAUGUAAAUCCUAUUUUAAUAAACGUAUUUUUUUUGUUUACAUUUGUUA
Molecule: long non-coding RNA, 5488 nt
Organism: Sipha flava (yellow sugarcane aphid)
Lineage: Eukaryota; Metazoa; Arthropoda; Insecta; Hemiptera; Aphididae
Exons: 2
Source: RefSeq, a predicted model, not a curated record